UACGGAGGGUGCAAGCGUUAUCCGGAUUCACUGGGUUUAAAGGGUGCGUAGGCGGGCAUGUAAGUCAGUGGUGAAAUCUCCGGGCUUAACCCGGAAACUGCCGUUGAUACUAUGUGUCUUGAAUAUCGUUGAGGUUUGCGGAAUAUGUCAUGUAGCGGUGAAAUGCUUAGAUAUGACAUAGAACACCAAUUGCGAAGGCAGCUCACUACACGAAUAUUGACACUGAGGCACGAAAGCGUGGGGAUCAAACAGG
Molecule: ribosomal RNA, 253 nt
Filed under: uncultured bacterium
Lineage: Bacteria
Description: partial 16S ribosomal RNA
Rfam family: Bacterial small subunit ribosomal RNA
Source: RNAcentral